RNAcentral lists this transfer RNA (71 nucleotides) under Marmota monax (woodchuck). Its description in RNAcentral is "tRNA.Ala". Lineage: Eukaryota; Metazoa; Chordata; Mammalia; Rodentia; Sciuridae. The record is from RNAcentral.
GUGGGUGUGGCUCAGUGGCAGAGCACUUGCCUCGCACAUGUGACGCACUGCGUUGGAUCCUCAGCACCACA